AUUUUCCACAGUUUAUUGUGAUCCACACAGUCAAAGGCUUUGGCAUAGUCAAUAAAGCAGAAAUAGAUGUUUUUCUGGAACUCUCUUGCUUUUUCCAUGAUCCAGCGGAUGUUGGCAAUUUGAUCUCUGGUUCCUCUGCCUUUUCUAAAACCAGAAAAAACAUCUAAAACUUCACUACACACACAUGUAGAAACCUCCAGUUUCUCUCCCCUGUCACUUUCCUUAAUACCAGAAACACAGGAGAAGAAACCACACACAAGAUAUUGAUCUUUGUACAAGGUCACCUUCAGGAUCCAUUACUGACAGAGCAGUGAUUAGGCUAAUAAUAGACAUUUGGGACUCUACAGUUCUGAGAAUUUCUCUCUUCAUUCAUGGGUCUCACGAAUUCCGCU
This 392-nucleotide small RNA is filed under the name Bos taurus (domestic cattle). The record is from RNAcentral. Lineage: Eukaryota; Metazoa; Chordata; Mammalia; Artiodactyla; Bovidae.